GAUUGUUAUAUCUGCUAUUUGCCAAUGAAGUGUUUUAGAUGUGGAUAAAACCUGGAAUGCUGAUUGGCUGCUUUUUGGGUAGCUGAUAAAGUUAAGUCGAUUGCUGUUUCUCCCGUGUUGUUUUUGUUUAGUUCCCUGGUCGGCCGGUCUCAGAAGUGUGCUGCAUGGUGGCAGCAAGUGUACAUUGUGAACUGUUUGUGUACGAGUCCGGUUGGCUGGGGUUCUGUUAUCUUUUUCUUUUGUUUCUUUUUUUAUUGAUGACCAUCUUCCCAGCCUUAUGUCAUUAGCUCGACUCAUUGCGUUUGUAUUCUGUGUGUGCAUACCUUUGGGGUAUGGGAUCCAUGUUUGCUGUGGUGGUUUUUUGAGUUAUGAGUGAAGGGUUAUGUUUUGAGUUGUUGUUCUAUUUUGAAUUGUGGUGUUUAUUUCCAUUGAUUUUUGGUUCUUUCUUUUUACUGUCAUUAAAAAAUGGAUGUUUCCUUAUACCUUAAAGGUUUGCCACACGCAACGGAACCAGCUACUAUAGAGAGCUUUUGAGCUGGUGGUUAACAUCUUGGAGAGCUGAGAUUAAUUUUGGAUGAGUUAUUUAAAUAAAUCAUUUCAUUUCUAUGUUUAAUUGUGUACAUUAUUUGUGCCCUAUUGUUUGUAAUAAACCUUUUUUGUUGUACUUUGAGUAGUCCAAAGGGUUUUGACUUUGUGCCUGUGCAUUAAACAAGGUAUUCUCUUUCAAAUUAGUUGGAAGGGGUGGCGUAGUGCUACAAUUUGGCUUAGUCGGCAGGGUGGAUCAAUAUAGAUGUACUUAUUUCUUUGGUAGGCUGGGAAGUAGGUAGUGUUUUUUUGUUUGGUAAUUAUUUUUUUGUAGGGAGAAACAGCGAUUGACUUCGUGGGACCUUGAUAUUGUCACUGGACAGGAUCUGCUGUUGUGUAAGCUGAUCUGCUGUAGCAAUGGCAGAGGAGCUGCAGAACUUAUGGGAACAGUUGGAGCAACUGCAUGUGGAAAAUGAGAGACUGAAACAACAGACACAAAAUGGAGCUUCAGCAGGUGGUGUUCCAAGUUCAACACUUGAGGGUAAUGGACAAAGGAGGGAACAAGCUUUGUACUUGCCUAGGAAGAGAAAAUGUCCCAAAUUUUCUGGUAAAGUGGGAUCUCUGCCUAUUGAAGAUUGGAUUGAAGAGGUGGAGAGUUGUAUUAGAGGGAGACACAUGUCAGAGUGGGACAAAGCUGUGUUUGUUUAUGAUCAUUUAGAGGGGGAA
Molecule: long non-coding RNA, 1251 nt
Organism: Misgurnus anguillicaudatus (oriental weatherfish)
Lineage: Eukaryota; Metazoa; Chordata; Actinopteri; Cypriniformes; Cobitidae
Source: RefSeq, a predicted model, not a curated record